RNAcentral lists this long non-coding RNA (904 nucleotides) under Mus musculus (house mouse). Its description in RNAcentral is "long non-coding RNA chr10:75171840-75172744". The record is from RNAcentral. Lineage: Eukaryota; Metazoa; Chordata; Mammalia; Rodentia; Muridae.
AAGCCAUUCAGCAGCCUGACUGCAUAUGGUCAAGACCGGGCCAGGAUCCUGAAAGCACCAUCCUCAGCUAGGGCCACUCUGCAAAGGAGACCAACAUACUCGGUAAACCUAGGUCUCUUGGAGCCUUGUACCCAUUAGAGAUUUCCCAUGCCCUCUUCUCUCCUUUCCAUUCAUAAACUUUCUAGGCUGCCAAAUUCUCGUAGCCCUGUUCUUUCCUGGGGAUUAACAUUAUACUGAGUUGUAGAAUCUCAUCUUGUCCCAUUUUUUUUCCUCUUGUACCAUCCUCCUGUUUGGGUUAUGUCUCAGGUUCCCACACAGCCAUCUGGGUGAUAAUAGCUUCUGUCUUAGAGAUGUGUCCAUUCUCCACAUUUUGUAUCAACAGAAUCAUGCCAGAGGUAGUCUCCUGUAUUUUCUGGGUUUUCUGGAUUCUUCUUUGAGGGUGGGGUAGGGGAUGUUUUGUUUUGUUUUGUUUUGUUUUGUUUUGUUUUGUUUUGUUUUGUUUUGUUUUGUUUUGUUUUGAGACAGGGUUUCUCUGUAUAACCCUGGCUGGCCUGGAACUCACUUUGUAGACCAGGCUGGCCUCAAACUCAGAGGGAUUCACCUACCUCUGUCUUCCAAGUGCUGGGAUUAAAGGUGUGCACCAUUGGGGCUGGAGAGAUGGGUCAGUGGUUAAGAGCACUGACUAAACCCUUUCUCAAAAAACCAAAAAACAAAAAGAAAGAAAGAAAGAAAGAAAAAGAACACUGUCUACUCUUCCAGAGGUCCUAAGUUCAAUUCCCAGCUACCACAUGGUGGCUCACAACCAUCUGUAAUGGGAUCUGAUGCCCUCUACUAGUGUGUCUAAAGACAGCUACAGUGUACUCAUGUACAUAAAAUAAAUAAAUAUUAAAAAAGAGUGUGCACC